RNAcentral lists this ribosomal RNA (664 nucleotides) under uncultured Pseudomonadota bacterium. RNAcentral describes it as "bacterial SSU rRNA". It matches the Rfam family "Bacterial small subunit ribosomal RNA", at positions 62 to 715 of the family's 1533-position model. The record is from RNAcentral. Lineage: Bacteria; Pseudomonadati; Pseudomonadota.
UCGAACGGUAACAGGAAGAAGCUUGCUUCUUUGCUGACGAGUGGCGGACGGGUGAGUAAUGUCUGGGAAACUGCCUGAUGGAGGGGGAUAACUACUGGAAACGGUGGCUAAUACCGCAUAACGUCGCAAGACCAAAAAGGGGGACCUUCGGGCCUCUUGCCAUCGGAUGUGCCCAGAUGGGAUUAGCUAGUAGGUGGGGUAACGGCUCACCUAGGCGACGAUCCCUAGCUGGUCUGAGAGGAUGACCAGCCACACUGGAACUGAGACACGGUCCAGACUCCUACGGGAGGCAGCAGUGGGGAAUAUUGCACAAUGGGCGCAAGCCUGAUGCAGCCAUGCCGCGUGUAUGAAGAAGGCCUUCGGGUUGUAAAGUACUUUCAGCGGGGAGGAAGGGAGUAAAGUUAAUACCUUUGCUCAUUGACGUUACCCGCAGAAGAAGCACCGGCUAACUCCGUGCCAGCAGCCGCGGUAAUACGGAGGGUGCAAGCGUUAAUCGGAAUUACUGGGCGUAAAGCGCACGCAGGCGGUUUGUUAAGUCAGAUGUGAAAUCCCCGGGCUCAACCUGGGAACUGCAUCUGAUACUGGCAAGCUUGAGUCUCGUAGAGGGGGGUAGAAUUCCAGGUGUAGCGGUGAAAUGCGUAGAGAUCUGGAGGAAUACCGGUGG